GACGUAGGAUGCGAGCGCUGUCCGGAUUUAUUGGGCCUAAAGCAUCCGUAGCCGGUUCUACAAGUCUUCCGUUAAAUCCACCUGCUUAACAGAUGGGCUGCGGAAGAUACUAUAGAGCUAGGAGGCGGGAGAGGCAAGCGGUACUCGAUGGGUAGGGGUAAAAUCCGUUGAUCCAUUGAAGACCACCAGUGGCGAAGGCGGCUUGCCAGAACGCGCUCGACGGUGAGGGAUGAAAGCUGGGGGAGCAAACCGG
This 253-nucleotide ribosomal RNA is filed under the name uncultured bacterium. RNAcentral's name for it is "partial 16S ribosomal RNA". It matches the Rfam family "Bacterial small subunit ribosomal RNA", at positions 524 to 776 of the family's 1533-position model. The record is from RNAcentral.